GAUCUAGCCAUGGGCAGGUUGAAGGUUGGGUAACACUAACUGGAGGACCGAACCGACUAAUGUUGAAAAAUUAGCGGAUGACUUGUGGCUGGGGGUGAAAGGCCAAUCAAACCGGGAGAUAGCUGGUUCUCCCCGAAAGCUAUUUAGGUAGCGCCUCGUGAAUUCAUCUCCGGGGGUAGAGCACUGUUUCGGCAAGGGGGUCAUCCCGACUUACCAACCCGAUGCAAACUGCGAAUACCGGAGAAUGUUAUCACGGGAGACACACGGCGGGUGCUAACGUCCGUCGUGAAGAGGGAAACAACCCAGACCGCCAGCUAAGGUCCCAAAGUCAUGGUUAAGUGGGAAACGAUGUGGGAAGGCCCAGACAGCCAGGAUGUUGGCUUAGAAGCAGCCAUCAUUUAAAGAAAGCGUAAUAGCUCACUGGUCGAGUCGGCCUGCGCGGAAGAUGUAACGGGGCUAAACCAUGCACCGAAGCUGCGGCAGCGACGCUUAUGCGUUGUUGGGUAGGGGAGCGUUCUGUAAGCCUGUGAAGGUGUGCUGUGAGGCAUGCUGGAGGUAUCAGAAGUGCGAAUGCUGACAUAAGUAACGAUAAAGCGGGUGAAAAGCCCGCUCGCCGGAAGACCAAGGGUUCCUGUCCAACGUUAAUCGGGGCAGGGUGAGUCGACCCCUAAGGCGAGGCCGAAAGGCGUAGUCGAUGGGAAACAGGUUAAUAUUCCUGUACUUGGUGUUACUGCGAAGGGGGGACGGAGAAGGCUAUGUUGGCCGGGCGACGGUUGUCCCGGUUUAAGCGUGUAGGCUGGUUUUCCAGGCAAAUCCGGAAAACCAAGGCUGAGGCGUGAUGACGAGGCACUACGGUGCUGAAGCAACAAAUGCCCUGCUUCCAGGAAAAGCCUCUAAGCAUCAGGUAACAUCAAAUCGUACCCCAAACCGACACAGGUGGUCAGGUAGAGAAUACCAAGGCGCUUGAGAGAACUCGGGUGAAGGAACUAGGCAAAAUGGUGCCGUAACUUCGGGAGAAGGCACGCUGAUAUGUAGGUGAAGUCCCUUGCGGAUGGAGCUGAAAUCAGUCGAAGAUACCAGCUGGCUGCAACUGUUUAUUAAAAACACAGCACUGUGCAAACACGAAAGUGGACGUAUACGGUGUGACGCCUGCCCGGUGCCGGAAGGUUAAUUGAUGGGGUCAGCGCAAGCGAAGCUCUUGAUCGAAGCCCCGGUAAACGGCGGCCGUAACUAUAACGGUCCUAAGGUAGCGAAAUUCCUUGUCGGGUAAGUUCCGACCUGCACGAAUGGCGUAAUGAUGGCCAGGCUGUCUCCACCCGAGACUCAGUGAAAUUGAACUCGCUGUGAAGAUGCAGUGUACCCGCGGCAAGACGGAAAGACCCCGUGAACCUUUACUAUAGCUUGACACUGAACAUUGAGCCUUGAUGUGUAGGAUAGGUGGGAGGCUUAGAAGUGUGGACGCCAGUCUGCAUGGAGCCGACCUUGAAAUACCACCCUUUAAUGUUUGAUGUUCUAACGUUGACCCCUAAUCCGGGUUGCGGACAGUGUCUGGUGGGUAGUUUGACUGGGGCGGUCUCCUCCUAAAGAGUAACGGAGGAGCACGAAGGUUGGCUAAUCCUGGUCGGACAUCAGGAGGUUAGUGCAAUGGCAUAAGCCAGCUUGACUGCGAGCGUGACGGCGCGAGCAGGUGCGAAAGCAGGUCAUAGUGAUCCGGUGGUUCUGAAUGGAAGGGCCAUCGCUCAACGGAUAAAAGGUACUCCGGGGAUAACAGGCUGAUACCGCCCAAGAGUUCAUAUCGACGGCGGUGUUUGGCACCUCGAUGUCGGCUCAUCACAUCCUGGGGCUGAAGUAGGUCCCAAGGGUAUGGCUGUUCGCCAUUUAAAGUGGUACGCGAGCUGGGUUUAGAACGUCGUGAGACAGUUCGGUCCCUAUCUGCCGUGGGCGCUGGAGAACUGAGGGGGGCUGCUCCUAGUACGAGAGGACCGGAGUGGACGCAUCACUGGUGUUCGGGUUGUCAUGCCAAUGGCACUGCCCGGUAGCUAAAUGCGGAAGAGAUAAGUGCUGAAAGCAUCUAAGCACGAAACUUGCCCCGAGAUGAGUUCUCCCUGACCCCUUAAGAGUCCUGAAGGAACGUUGAAGACGACGACGUUGAUAGGCCGGGUGUGUAAGCGCAGCGAUGCGUUGAGCUAACCGGUACUAAUGAACCGUGAGGCUUAACCUU
RNAcentral lists this ribosomal RNA (2221 nucleotides) under Escherichia coli KTE108. RNAcentral describes it as "bacterial LSU rRNA". It matches the Rfam family "Bacterial large subunit ribosomal RNA", at positions 727 to 2925 of the family's 2925-position model. Lineage: Bacteria; Pseudomonadati; Pseudomonadota; Gammaproteobacteria; Enterobacterales; Enterobacteriaceae. The record is from RNAcentral.